AGUAACCUGCCUUGCACAAGGGGAUAGCCGUUGGAAACGACGAAUAAUACCCUAUGAUAUGAUAGUCUCGCAUGAAGCUAUCAUCAAAGAUUUAUCGGUGUAAGAUGGACUCGCGUCUGAUUAGCUAGUUGGUGAGAUAACUGCUCACCAAGGCAACGAUCAGUAGCCGGCUUGAGAGAGUGUACGGCCACAUUGGGACUGAGACACGGCCCAG
This 214-nucleotide ribosomal RNA is filed under the name uncultured Eubacteriales bacterium. RNAcentral's name for it is "uncultured Clostridiales bacterium partial 16S ribosomal RNA". It matches the Rfam family "Bacterial small subunit ribosomal RNA", at positions 120 to 334 of the family's 1533-position model. The record is from RNAcentral. Lineage: Bacteria; Bacillati; Bacillota; Clostridia; Eubacteriales.